Molecule: long non-coding RNA, 1019 nt
Organism: Triticum dicoccoides
Lineage: Eukaryota; Viridiplantae; Streptophyta; Magnoliopsida; Poales; Poaceae
Exons: 2
Source: RefSeq, a predicted model, not a curated record
CUGCCUCUCAUUUCGCUUGAAGUGCAAUACUGAUCCCAGUUCCAUUCUCCCUCUGCCGUCGUUACCUUACAUCCAACUUCCUUGUCUGCGCGACGAGCAGAGCAGGAGGGGCAUGCUCCUGCAUCCCGUUUCGCUGUUUCAUCGGUAUCCAGGUUUCUGAAUGCACAAAACAAAAAAGGGGAAACAUCAGCAACAACAAAAACCCGCAAUCCCAUGGAGGAAGUGGCGCUUGCUAGCUUGCGACUGGCGGUAUCUCCAAUCUUUAAGGAGCUCAUCACUAAAGCUUCAACAUACCUUGGUGUUGACUUGACGCGUGAGCUCCAUCAACUGGAGACCACCAUCAUGCCGCAGUUCGAGUUGAUGAUUCAAGCUGCUAACAAGCGCAACCAGAGGGCCAUGCUGGACAAAUGGAUCCAGGAGCUCAAAGACGCCUUGUACAAGGCUGAGGACCUGUUGGAUGACAAAGAGUACAACUUUCUCAAGCGCAAAGCAAAGGGCAAGAAGGAUUCCUCCACCAACACUGCUUUGAAGCCUCGGCAUGCUAUGUCGAGCAUGUUGUCCAAUCUGUGCGCGGAGAACAGAAAGCUACAUUUCCGGCUCCUCUUCAUUGCAGUGAAAUAGUAUUUCGUUUGGAAAACAUGGAAGAUAGUUAGUUCCUAGCACUAUUCAAAUACCAUGCCUUCUUUGAACCAGAAAUCAGAAAUCCACAGUUGCGUGGAAAAGAAGAAGAGAUUGCAGAGGAAAUCGUUAAAAGGCUAGGAAAAUCUCCUUUGGCUGCAAAAGUUGUGGGUUCCCAGCUGAAGGGGAAAACAAAUAUCAGUGCAUGGAAAGAUUCUCUAACUAUACAGAUCGACAACUUAAGUGAGCCCAGGAGAGCUCUGUUGUGGAGUUAUGAGAAGUUAGAUCCACGUCUAUAGAGGUGCUUUUUUUUAUUGCAGCUUAUUUCCAAAAGGUCACAAGUAUGACACCGAGGAGUUGGUUCACCUAUGGGUAGCAGAGGGAUUUGUCGAUUCAUGCAA